This 74-nucleotide transfer RNA is filed under the name Choerodon anchorago (orange-dotted tuskfish). Its description in RNAcentral is "tRNA-Val". It matches the Rfam family "tRNA". Rfam says of the family: Transfer RNA (tRNA) molecules are approximately 80 nucleotides in length. Their secondary structure includes four short double-helical elements and three loops (D, anti-codon, and T loops). Lineage: Eukaryota; Metazoa; Chordata; Actinopteri; Labriformes; Labridae. The record is from RNAcentral.
CGAAGUGUAGCUUAAAAAUGAAUAGCAUCUCCCUUACACUGAGAAGGCUUCCGUGCAAACCGGGACACCUCGAC